RNAcentral lists this transfer RNA (87 nucleotides) under Chitinophagaceae bacterium. RNAcentral describes it as "tRNA-Leu". It matches the Rfam family "tRNA". From Rfam's summary of the family: Transfer RNA (tRNA) molecules are approximately 80 nucleotides in length. Their secondary structure includes four short double-helical elements and three loops (D, anti-codon, and T loops). Further hydrogen bonds mediate the characteristic L-shaped molecular structure. tRNAs have two regions of fundamental functional importance: the anti-codon, which is responsible for specific mRNA codon recognition, and the 3' end, to which the tRNAs corresponding amino acid is attached (by aminoacyl-tRNA synthetases). tRNAs cope with the degeneracy of the genetic code in two manners: having more than one tRNA (with a specific anti-codon) for a particular amino acid; and 'wobble' base-pairing, i.e. permitting non-standard base-pairing at the 3rd anti-codon position. Lineage: Bacteria; Pseudomonadati; Bacteroidota; Chitinophagia; Chitinophagales; Chitinophagaceae. RNAcentral also lists the same sequence under 2 other names. The record is from RNAcentral.
GCCCAGAUGGCGAAAUUGGUAGACGCACUGUCUUCAGGUGGCAGCGUUCGCAAGGAUGUGCAGGUUCGAAUCCUGUUCUGGGCACCA